Molecule: non-coding RNA, 23 nt
Filed under: Cricetulus griseus (Chinese hamster)
Lineage: Eukaryota; Metazoa; Chordata; Mammalia; Rodentia; Cricetidae
Source: RNAcentral
CAGGACAGAAGAACAUCAACUUU